CGCCUCCCGCCCCGCCCCGCCCCGCCCGGCGCCGCCGCCUCCCGCCCCGCUCCGCCCCGCCCGGCGCCGCCGUACACCGCCGCCGCGCCUACCCCUGCCUCCUGCUCCUGCUACCAUGGCACCGCCAGGACUCCUCCCCACUGCUUCCACCUCGACAAUGGUUUCCCCAACACCGCCGGCUUCGCCACCAGCCACUCCUUCAUCCACAAUAAUCAUAGGAGACAGCUACACGGGCGAGCCUACGAGCAAGACCUCGACGGCGCUGGCGGUGGAAGACCGCGGAUGUGAGGGCGCUUGGAAGGCCGCGGUGCCGCGAUUAAGUCAUGAGGACCGCGGCGGCAGCAGUCAAAAUCUUCAUGAAGUCUCUCCGCUUACCCUCCCUCGGUCUGAUUUCUCUCCAAUCUUUGAAUCCCCUCAGUUUGAACUAAUGCCAUGUAUUUUCAGAACAGUUAGUGAAUCAUUUGUCAGUUGAAAGAUGGUUGAUGCACCAAAAAAGAUUGUAUUGAUUCAAUCUGGAAAAGUCAAGAUCACAAUAGCUUUCAGAACAAUUAGUGAAUCAUUUGUCAGUUGAAAGAUGGUUGAUGCACCAAAAAAGAUUGUAUUGAUUCAAUCUGGAAAAGUCAAGAUCACAAUAGCAAUUACAUAUGCAUUUGUUGGGCCAAAAGUAGCAGUUACAUAUGCAUUUAGUUAAUCUUUUGGCCUAUCACCGUUUCAUGCAUUUUUGGUGGACUUUCAUUUGACCUUGAGUGUUGACUUGCUUUUCUGUUGCUAACAAUGUCCGGCUUGCCGAAUGUACUUGCUUAUCCUUGUACUGGAGUACCAUUGAUUCACCAUAUACACACUUUCCAAUUCUGUCUGUUUACUAUCUAGGAGUCAGACCAUGGCUGCACGGAGCAGGUCCACCCACUAGGGGCUGGCCGCUGUGUCCGCCAUGAGGAUUCCUGCACUAAGCCUUGCCGGCGUUCCCGGCCACCAAGGUACUUCUACUUAUGUGUCUCUAUAAGAUUCCUGCAUAUGUUUUUGUGCUUUCCACUUAAUGCAUUGUUAGCUCUAUGUUACACUUCUUUUAGGUACUUCCUGCUCCAGGAUUUUCUUUGUGCGAAAAUCAAUAUACAUAGGCAUAUUUGCCCAUGAAGCUGCUCUGGUUUUUCUUUUAGAGUUUACUCCCAUUUACUUGUGUCGUUAUACAAUAAUAACAGAAUUGAUAUCGAUUAAACUUCUUUGAGUUUCUUGAAAUUUAAUGAUUUCCCAUGGAAUAUGAAGUUUGAGAAUGACACCUGCUGAGCUGAAAAUAAUCUAGCGAGCAAUAGUAUAAUGAAUAGUUAUUACCGUAUCGGCAUCACAUUGCUCAUGGGUGAAUAACACAACAAUAAACUAGAAAAAUGGAAAUGCUCUGUUUGGUUUGGGUACCAUGCAGGAAAGUAGUUAACAGAGAUAGACUAUUUGACAGUUGCAGAGUGACACCACCACCACAUAUGAAGCAGAGAGUUUGUAAAGAGACACUAAAUAAUCAUCUGGAGUGAGACACUAAUUGCUUUCUUGUGUAGUGAAGACGAUCUUUUUUGGGGUGUAAUAUAACUAUGGCAGCUCUCUGGAGUGAGAAUGUCGAGGCCCUAAAAAACAGCCAUCGACACGGAGUUCCUGCCAUUAAGGAUAGAAAAGCUAGCAGAGAAACAGCUUGGGGAAUCACAAGCUUAUCUUGCCUUUUGAAUGUGCAGCCUGUAACCAGAGAAGCUUGUUCUAAUUAUUGUAUGCUUAUUUUCCCCGAGCUGUUUCUCUGCUAACUAUUAUUCUCAAGCAACUACCAAACUAUGGAUAGAAGAAGUCUUAACAUGGAGCUAUUCUUUACCUAAUAAUAAAGAGAAUUGGGUUUCUGCCGUCCGUCGUUCGCUUUUGCAAAAAGACCCUUCUCUUUUUCGGAAAUUGAACCCGCACUCCCUACCGCACUCCCUACGUAAGUGGCUCUGGGGAAAACGAUUCGGUAAAAAAAAUCCCUUUCGCGUAUCCUCUGUUUCUUGGUAUUCAGACCGGCAGUUGGAGGCGGCCACGGCGAACGGGGUGGACGAGGUGGCGGAGCAGGGGCCCCGGCGAGUGGGGAGCUGGAGGCACAGCGCAUCCCGGCACUGCACAGGGACUACGAGCCGGCGGCGCACCUGUCACCAACCAGCGCAGACCCCGAGGCCGUGCGGACGAGGAAGGAGAGAAUCAGGAUGAGGAGGAUGUCGCUGCGGCAGCGAAGGUAGCCAGCAGCCUGAUGAAGCAUCUACGGCCCAGCUUCUCCGGCGCGCCAUCCGGAGAUGGGACGGACGGAUCGAGGCGAAGGAUGAUGGAGAGGUGGUCGGAGGCGGCGAGCUCCAAGGCAGGCGGGCUGAUGCGGUUCCAGAUGGACGACGGCUUCGCGGGCGGCUGGCUGCCGUGGCCCAAGCGGCGGACGAACGGGCGCUCCUCUCGUCGUCCUCCUCCCGACGGCAGGCCAGUCAGGCGGCAGGAGCUUCUCCGUUCUGCUUGGCGACCUCAAGGUCCCGCUCUUCGGGGCGCUGCUCCAGCGGGGGCCGGCGUGGUUUGAGGACGUGCUGCGGGCGCCGACGGCUACCGCGCCCCGGAGGUGGUGGACGCGCGGCGACACUCUCUGGGCGUGCUCUUGCUGGAGCUCCUCAACGGCAAGUCCCUGACGCACGCGUCGCUGCAGGAUGGUGACGGCGGCACGCUGGACCUGCCGCGGUUGGUGCAGUCGGUGGUGCGCGAGGAGUGCACGGCCGAGGUGAUUGGCGUGGAGCUGGUGCGGCUAGGCGCCGCGCCGAGGAGAAGAUGGACUCGCUACCGCAGGCACCGGCGAAGCUACGACAGCGAGCUUCAGUUAUCUGAAUUUUCGGUUCAGUGUCCACAACAGCGAGCUUCAAUUAUCUGAAUUUUCAGUGCAGUGUCGUGAUUUGGAUGGACGCCCGAACACAACAGCGAGGCCAGCUUCAGUUCUCUGAAUCUUCAGUGAAGUGUCGUGAUUUGGAUGGAAUUGGAGACCGUGUCCUUCUCCAACAUAAGUCAAUUUCCAAUGUAAUCGAGUUCGAGUCUCUGUUCUUCUCGAAGGCAAAAGCAUGUAGUGCCCGACCCGGAUUGGACUUGGCUGUCAUAAGGAGGGUUCCUCGACCGGAACGUCCAUCAGGCCGCGUCCCUCGACCAGAAUCUCCAUCAAAUCCCAUCACAUUGCAACUUUCAGAGGAACAUCCAAUGUCGCUGGCAGAGGAAAAUCAUCCGUCCAGCGGUACUAUGCUGAGUUCGCCGACGGAAGAACACCCGUCGAGCCCUCCAUCGCCUGAGGCGGCUACAACAGAGUGAUGGGAGGUAGAUUGAGCUGAUAAAUUUCUGCACCCACCUUGAGGUCCAUAACGUUCUCCUAAUUAUAUGCAGCCCAAUUCGUAUAGAUGUAUUUGUUUGAGGGAGAGGACUAUCUGUGAUCAGAAGCAACAGUAUGUGAUCAUCAUGUGUGCGAGAGAUGGCAGGAGUAUGUGAUAUGUAUUUCUGUGUACAGUACUAAUAUUUAUUGACUGUUCAUGUUGGUACAGUAGGUUCAUGAUUGCUUGUGGAAACAAUAAAAUUACUUGAGGAGGAUUUUAUGAGUAUGUACUUUGAGACUUGAGAGGCUGUUAUUGACAUGGAUUCUCUGUCUACUAGAGAGGCUGAUGUCAAAUCAACAUUGGAACAAGGGAAAUAGAAGUGGAAUGAGAUGAAGUCCUAUUGAUACCUGUAAUUCAUUGAUUAACUCAAACAAAUGAUACUAGACAUCAACUACUGCAAUUGAUCCAUGAAUAUUUGUUAGGUUGUAGUAUCUAUCUAACAUCUAGAAGGGAAAAAUGCGAUGAACAUUUUUCUCUCAAGGUUAUGUAUAUGAGUAUAUCUUUAAAAUGUGGUACAGAGAGCAGAAGGUCUUAAAUGCUUGCAAAUCCUCAGUUUUAAGAGAAUAAGAUACAGUCUUAAUUUAUUUCCAGAUUUAUUUUUGUAUUAUUGGAAUUCUGAACAGGAGAAGGUUGUUAGCUCGUCGUGUGGUCGAUUUGGUUUCUGGAAAUUCUUUCGCAUACUAUGUUUGAGCGCUUUUGUUCUUGAGUUCUUCUGGUGGAGAGAAUCAGAAGUGAUUCUUCUGCAAUGUGAGGAGAUCUCCAAAUCAAGCCAGCCUCCAAGAGAAGAGAACAAGUAGUACAUUUGCGCGCACUUGCGUGCACAUGCUGAUUUCUAAAUAUCGCACAGUACUAUAGUUGUGAUCCCCUAAAUAGCUUAUAUUUGAGCACAGUCUUGCGGAAUAGUUACAGUGAACAAAAAGCUUGCAUUUGAUAGAUUUGAUUUGUUAGCUUUUUGAAUGGCGCUGCCCCUAUUAGGCUAAGUAGAAGCACUAUACCGGGACUAAAGUACAUCAGGUUACCUUUCAUGAGGUCUGUGGAAUUUUUGUAAUUUACGGUAUUGGUAUUUUUGGAAUUAUUUUGGGUACAAGGAAAGAAGUGACAGAGAACUGCAAUUUUUUUGUGGUAAAAUUUACUGAAAAUGGUGUUUCUUUUCAAGAUUAUAUUACUGUUUGCCCGUUUGAUCCUUGGAUGAUCUACUAAUUUUCUUUUCUAUUCCUUGCCGAUAAUUUGCUUCAGCUCAUCAAAUUACCUGGGGAAACAUGCUCAUUGUUUAUCUAAAGAUAUAUUGGGCAUCAGUCCACCUGUCAUGAGGUCUCUAAAUUUUUUAGGCAUGUUUAUUUUCUGAAUAAUUUAUUGGAGAUACUAUGCUUGGACUCACAAAUGCAUGUAGUGCUUCCACUAGAGGGAUGUUCUUCAUAUUUUCUGUGUUAUCCCUCUUUCAAGUUUUUGGUCCUUGAAAAGUAAUAGUACUUGCUAGGUUUCUAGCUUUACUUUUUUUUGUAGUACAAGCUAAAUGUAUAUGCCUGAAUUUACAUAUCAGAGUGUUUGAGUUGAUUAAGGGUAUGCGAGAGAACAAUUUUGAUCCUCAAACAACACCCGACAUCAUUAAUUUUUUUAUUUACCAAUUGAAACACGAGGCAAUAAUAGCACAACUUAAGUGUGUGAACAUAUCAAUAUAAAAUGAUUGGCCGGAUUAUGUUUUUAUGCAUUCUAGAAGUGGCAUUUCCAUGAAAUUACAAACUAGCUUUACAUUUUUCUAGGAACACUUUGUGAAAUUUUAUUGGAGAAUAUUUUUCUCCUUUUCCAUCGUUCGUUGCCCAUUCGUCCCGUUCUGCUCUUGUUUGUCAUGAGUAAUGUGAUGUGUUGAAAUAGAGGACAUAAACUUGUGGAGGCUUUUAGCCAUGGGGCUAUUGGGCUAGAGGCAUGCGAUAUAUUUUUCUCCCGUUGCAACGCACGGGCCCUUUUACUAGUUCAAAACAAGAUGAGGAGAGACUCAAGAAUUUAAACAGUAAAAUACGAACCUGCACAUGAUCAUAUAAUGUGCGGAUCACAGGCUGGCCAAAGCCUUCUUUCGAGUCUCCUAACAUUGCCUGCUUAAUUUUCACUACCUGCAAGUACAACUAGCUAGAAAUUUCAGUAUGCUGCUAUGUGCCUUGAGUUUGUAAGUCAAGAUCUCUUUGCUUCCAGGAGAGUUUGACCACUCAUAUCUCUCUUUUUCUUGCCACCUGCACUUGUAGUUUUUUUUCCUAUGAUAUAUAUUGUAUCAUUUUGGUUGCUGAAUAUGAUAGUCGUAGCCCGUCAAAAUAUUAUGAUAGCCGAUUGAUUCUUCUUAAAAGGUAUAUUGACUGUUGCAAAGUUUACCUGGUCUUCUAUUUAUAUUUUCCAGAAUACAGUCCUAGAGAUGUUGCUUUAUUUGAGUUCUGCUUAUUGCAUUUAUUGGAGCACUUGCAAUGGGCACAUUGAAUGUUUAAAUGUUCCUCUUGCUGCUGACCACACUACAGUUCAUUAUAUCUCAUUGAGACCUUAAUCAUCUUCCAUGUUUGUUAGAAGGUAGCAUAGUACUGGUUGAACCCGAUAGUUACCUGAAACCAUUGCUUAACACCGAGCCCCUCUACUUUCUAAAAGGUUUCCAUUUUGGUUUACUGAAUAUUUUUUUCCUGCUUGAACUAUAUCAGUUGGGCAAGUGCUAGAACCCAGGAGCAUAUGAUUUUGCUGCUCAUGACAUACGCGUCAAUAUUGCAAUCAACUCUGACUGCAAUUGUAUAGACAAGGGCCUGCAUUCUAUAUGGAAGGUUCGACAUUGAAGCUGCUCGCAUUGAUCCGCAAUAGAUCUUGACUUCAGCGGAAAAUGAGGUUUCAUCGAGGCAGUGACUUAUUCUACAUGAUGGGAAUUCAACGGCAUUUUAUAGUUUUGUUCUUAAAUACUAGCUGGGUGUGCCGUCUAUUCACAGAUGAAGUAAUCUGAACAUCUCUUGCAGAUAAAACGCUCGGGAAAAGUUCCCAGCCGUGCACCUGUGACCGCUGAAGAGGCAUACUGUUUUAGGAAUGCAUGACAGACUGGUCGCGAGAUUUGUGUCUAGGAUGGAAUUACAUGAUAUGUCAAAAUGGUGGUCUUUAUUAUGCAAUUUAACUGAUCUCUUGUUGCACCUCUCCUUUCCAGAAAAACAAUUAUUUAAUCUUUCAA
Long non-coding RNA from Triticum aestivum (bread wheat), 6576 nucleotides. RefSeq lists it as uncharacterized. NCBI's taxonomy places the organism in Eukaryota, Viridiplantae, Streptophyta, Magnoliopsida, Poales, Poaceae. The record is from RefSeq and is a predicted model, not a curated record. The transcript has 3 exons.